This is a long non-coding RNA of Helianthus annuus (common sunflower), 472 nucleotides long. RefSeq lists it as uncharacterized. The record is from RefSeq and is a predicted model, not a curated record. NCBI's taxonomy places the organism in Eukaryota, Viridiplantae, Streptophyta, Magnoliopsida, Asterales, Asteraceae. The transcript is spliced from 2 exons.
GACGAUUUUUGUAAUUUACUCUUUAUAGAAUUUUCCCAAGUUUUUGAAGAAGCUGAUAACUCUAUGAAGGUGAUUAUUAGCACUUGUUUUGUUCUGAAGCAAACAUAUCUCAUGCAUUCACAUUUUGUAAGAAUGUCAUGAUUACCUGGCUAUGCAACAUGUUUAUGGCUAGAGAUUAGCAUAUCAGCACUCUGGAUUUUGGAAGGUCAUAUCGUUCCCCGUUGAUGCAGUGACAGAUACAUAUGGAACAUUUCUACCUGAUGGAACAGCUUUACAGUUUCAGCAGAUUCUGAGCUUAAGUGUUUUAGAGGUGCCAAAAUGGUUUGGUUGGACGGCUUGAAAGUUGAAUAACAGGUCAAAAUAAGUAAACUUUGUACUGGUCAAACAUGUCGUGUGUGUAUUGGGUUGACCCAAAAAUACUUUAUGUCAAAACAUUUUAAAUAUGUUUAUAAACGAUUAGUGUUCUUUUCAA